This 251-nucleotide ribosomal RNA is filed under the name uncultured bacterium. Its description in RNAcentral is "partial 16S ribosomal RNA". It matches the Rfam family "Bacterial small subunit ribosomal RNA", at positions 524 to 776 of the family's 1533-position model. The record is from RNAcentral.
UACGUAGGGGGCUAGCGUUGUCCGGAUUUAUUGGGCGUAAAGAGCGUGUAGGCGGCCAGGUAGGUCUGGUGUGAAAACUCGAGGCUUAACCUCGAGAUGUCAUCGGAACCAUUGGCUAGAGUCCGGAAGAGGAGAGUGGAAUUCCUGGUGUAGCGGUGAAAUGCGCAGAUAUCAGGAAGAACACCAAUGGCGAAGGCAGCUCGCUGGGACGGUACUGACGCUAAGGCGCGAAAGCGUGGGGAGCGAACAGG